UGGGUCUGCUUUGAGACUUUUCUCAAAUUUUAGUCAUACAAAGGAUAAAUAUUUCUUGCGGCACCAUGAUACCCAUCUUCGCUAGCCAAGGGUUACGAUCCACUCCCGCUCUCUUCACCCUUGGCGGAUUGAGACAACAUUUCGGAGACACAAGGUAAGGAUUUUUAUUGGUUGCAGUCAAAACUCGCUGCAUCCAAUCAAAAUGCGCAUAUAACAUGAUCACGUGUAAAUGUAGAAAGUGUUUGUAAACAAUUGCCACGUGUUUUUUGUGCAACAAGUCUUUACAUUCCUAAACAUACGACUAUAUUUAGUGCAAACUUGAAUGUUUUUAAUCAACAACUAGAAGUUCCUGUGUAUGUUUCAUGCACAAAUGCAUGAAUGUUGACGUAUGUUUUCAUUUCCGGCUUUACCAAGUGUGUAGAAUCUAGACGCUACCGUGUUUUUACCUCCAAAUUGAAGAGUUCAAGUGCUACCAUUGGUCAAGAAUAAUGUAUUCGAAAUUGGCGUGAUUUUUAUCUUCCGAUAGAUGGCGCACCAUUGUUAUCACAAAUGUUGGCUCAAUCCGCCAAGGGUGAAGAGAGCGGGAGUGGAUCGUAACCCUUGGCUAGCGAAGAUGACACAAUGUCAGUUUAUUUUAACAAUCAUUUGAUUAUAUAAAUGGAUUUUUUUAAUAUAUUUUGUUUCCAAAGUUGCUUUAUA
This 699-nucleotide long non-coding RNA is filed under the name Mytilus galloprovincialis (Mediterranean mussel). Lineage: Eukaryota; Metazoa; Mollusca; Bivalvia; Mytilida; Mytilidae. The record is from RNAcentral.